RNAcentral lists this ribosomal RNA (802 nucleotides) under uncultured crenarchaeote. RNAcentral's name for it is "bacterial SSU rRNA". It matches the Rfam family "Archaeal small subunit ribosomal RNA", at positions 49 to 859 of the family's 1478-position model. The record is from RNAcentral. Lineage: Archaea; Thermoproteati; Thermoproteota.
GCRUGCGAGUCACGUAGCAAUACGUGGCAUACGGCUCAGUAACACGUAGUCAACAUGCCCAGGGGACGUGGAUAACCUCGGGAAACUGAGGAUAAACCGCGAUAGGUCAUAAUAUCUGGAAUGAUUUAUGGCUAAAAUCUACAUGGCCCCUGGAUUGGACUGCGGCCGAUCAGGCUGUUGGUGAGGUAAUGGCCCACCAAACCUAAAACCGGUACGGGCUCUGAGAGGAGAAGCCCGGAGAUGGGCACUGAGACAAGGGCCCAGGCCCUAUGGGGCGCAGCAGGCGCGAAAACUCUGCAAUAGGCGAAAGCUUGACAGGGUUAUUCUGAGUGAUUUCCGCUAAGGAAAUCUUUUGGCACCUCUAAAAAUGGUGCAGAAUAAGGGGUGGGCAAGCCUGGUGUCAGCCGCCGCGGUAAUACCAGCACCCCGAGUGGUCGGGACGAUUAUUGGGCCUAAAGCAUCCGUAGCCGGUUCUACAAGUCUUCCGUUAAAUCCAUCUGCUUAACAGAUGGGCUGCGGAGGAUACUAUGGAGCUAGGAGGCGGGAGAGGCAAGCGGUACUUAGUGGGUAGGGGUAAAAUCCGUUGAUCCACUGAAGACCACCAGUGGCGAAGGCGGCUUGCCAGAAACGCGCUCGACGGUGAGGGAUGAAAGCUGGGGGAGCAAACCGGAUUAGAUACCCGGGUAGUCCCAGCUGUAAACGAUGCAGACUCGGUGAUGAAUAGGCCUCGUGCCUUUUCAGUGCCGCAGGGAAGCCGUUAAGUCUGCCGCCUGGGGAGUACGGUCGCAAGACUGAAACUUAA